RNAcentral lists this ribosomal RNA (381 nucleotides) under Triticum aestivum (bread wheat). Its description in RNAcentral is "partial small subunit ribosomal RNA". Lineage: Eukaryota; Viridiplantae; Streptophyta; Magnoliopsida; Poales; Poaceae. The record is from RNAcentral.
AUGGUGAAACGUUUCAUGAAAUGUUGCCGGAAGCUAGUCACUAUUCUUGGAUGCGCAAGCCCGGGUGACAUAGAUGUGCAUGCUCCGAGCACAUCGAUGGUGCAUGCUAGUGGAGCUGUCGCUUCUUCUAGCCACGCCGGUGGUGGCAGCGACUCCGGUGAAUCUGAGGAGGAAAAGGAGGUGGACUUGCAGGACGACGAAGCCCCGAAAGAGAUGAACAUGUCACAAAUGAUGGAUGCACCACCGUCCUCCCAAGCAAAAAGCGUUUCUCACCCUCAUGAUGAUCCAUUCAGCCCAUCACCGUUCCAAAAUCCGCUUCUUCGUCGCCGCAAGAAGACCGUGAAUGAGGGGUGCUCUAAGAGAGGAAGAAUGGGACGAUGA